Molecule: ribosomal RNA, 456 nt
Filed under: Pseudomonas sp. ITRI24
Lineage: Bacteria; Pseudomonadati; Pseudomonadota; Gammaproteobacteria; Pseudomonadales; Pseudomonadaceae
Description: bacterial SSU rRNA
Rfam family: Bacterial small subunit ribosomal RNA
Source: RNAcentral
AGUGAACGCUGGCGGCAGGCCUAACACAUGCAAGUCGAACGGCAGCACAGGAGAGCUUGCUCUCUGGGUGGCGAGUGGCGGACGGGUGAGGAAUACAUCGGAAUCUACCUUGUCGUGGGGGAUAACGUAGGGAAACUUACGCUAAUACCGCAUACGACCUACGGGUGAAAGCAGGGGACCUUCGGGCCUUGCGCGAUUAGAUGAGCCGAUGUCCGAUUAGCUAGUUGGCGGGGUAAAGGCCCACCAAGGCGACGAUCGGUAGCUGGUCUGAGAGGAUGAUCAGCCACACUGGAACUGAGACACGGUCCAGACUCCUACGGGAGGCAGCAGUGGGGAAUAUUGGACAAUGGGCGCAAGCCUGAUCCAGCCAUGCCGCGUGGGUGAAGAAGGCCUUCGGGUUGUAAAGCCCUUUUGUUGGGAAAGAAAAGCAAUCGGUUAAUACCCGGUUGUUCUGAC